AACGCACGAGACCUGCGGACCUGCGGAAGGAUCAUUAUCGAGUUACUCAACUCCCAAAACCCUGUGAACUUUACCACUGUUGCUUCGGCGGAGUCGUCCCGGGUGCGCUCGAAAGGGCGUGUCCCGGAUCCAUGGCGCCCGCCGGGGGACCUAAACUCUUGUUUUUAUAAUGGUAUCUUCUGAGUGGCAUAAGCAAAAUAAAUCAAAACUUUUAACAAUGGAUCUCUAGAUCGGAAGAGC
This 240-nucleotide unclassified non-coding RNA is filed under the name soil metagenome. RNAcentral describes it as "partial contains 5.8S ribosomal RNA, internal transcribed spacer 2, and large subunit ribosomal RNA". The record is from RNAcentral.